Molecule: long non-coding RNA, 151 nt
Organism: Quercus robur (English oak)
Lineage: Eukaryota; Viridiplantae; Streptophyta; Magnoliopsida; Fagales; Fagaceae
Exons: 3
Source: RefSeq, a predicted model, not a curated record
CGGUUCAAUUUCUCAAGAACUCCUUGGGGAACACUAUAGAAGAUCAAAUUCUACCUAGGCUUUGUCUCUUGGUGUUUUGAGGAAUGGGCUUUGAGGAGUACAUAAAUUUGAUUUUGGAAGAUGUUGGAAAAGUUAACAUCAAGAGGGAGAG